ACGACUCUCGGCAACGGAUAUCUCGGCUCUCGCAUCGAUGAAGAACGUAGCAAAAUGCGAUACCUGGUGUGAAUUGCAGAAUCCCGCGAACCAUCGAGUUUUUGAACGCAAGUUGCGCCCGAAGCCUUGUGGCGGAGGGCACGUCUGCCUGGGCGUCACGCCAAAAGACACUCCCAACACCCCCCCGCGGGGCGAGGGACGUGGCGUCUGGCCCCCCGCGCCGCAGGGCGAGGUGGGCCGAAGCAGGGGCUACCGGCGAACCGCGCCGGACGUAGCACGUGGUGGGCGACAUCAAGUUGUUCUCAGUGCAGCGUCCCGGCGCGCGGCCGGCCAUUCGGCCCUAAGGACCCAUCGAGCGACCGAGCUUGCCCUCGGACCGCGACCCCAGGUCAGUCGAGACUACCCGCUGAGUUUAAGCAUAUAAAUAAGCGGAGGAGAAGAAACUUACGAGGAUUCCCCUAGUAACGGUGAGCGAACCGGGAGCAGCCCAGCUUGAGAAUCGGGCGGCCUCGCCGCUCGAAUUGUAGUCUGGAGAGGCGUCCUCAGCGACGAACCGGGCCCAAGUUCUCUGGAAAGGGACACCUGGGAGGGUGAGAGCCCCGUCCGGCCCGGACCCUGUCGCACCACGAGGCGCCGUCAACGAGUCGGGUUGUUUGGGAAUGCAGCCCAAAUCGGGUGGUAAACUCCGUCCAAGGCUAAAUACAGGCGAGAGACCGAUAGCGAACAAGUACCGCGAGGGAAAGAUGAAAAGGACUUUGAAAAGAGAGUCAAAGAGUGCUUGAAAUUGCCGGGAGGGAAGCGGAUGGGGGCUGGCGACGCGCACCGGCCGUAUGCGGAACGGCUCCUGCUGGUCCGCCGAUCGGCUCGGGGCGUGGACCGUUGUCGCCCGCGCCGGCGGCCAAAGCCCGGGGGCCCUAGGCGCCCCCAGCAGCCGUCGUCGGCGCGGACGGUAUCCGCGCGCCUCUGGCGCGCCCCUCGGGGCGCUGCGCCGCAACGGCCUACGAGCUCCCCAUCCGACCCGUCUUGAAACACGGACCAAGGAGUCUGACAUGCAUGCGAGUUGACGGGUUCAGAAACCUGAGAUGCGCAAGGAAGCUGACGAGCGAGAGGCCCUCACGGGCCGCACCGCUGGCCGACCCUGAUCUUCUAUGAAGGGUUCGAGUUGGAGCACGCCUGUCGGGACCCAAAAGAUGGUGAACUAUGCCUGAGCGGGGCGAAGCCAGAGGAAACUCUGGUGGAGGCUCGAAGCGAUACUGACGUGCAAAUCAUUCGUCUGACUUGGGUAUAGGGGCGAAAGACUAAUCGAACCAUCUAGUAGCUGGUUCCCUCCGAAGUUUCCCUCAGGAUAGCUGGAGCCCACACGAGUUCUAUCGGGUAAAGCCAAUGAUUAGAGGCAUCGGGGGCGCAACGCCCUCGACCUAUUCUCAAACUUUAAAUAGGUAGGACGGCGUGGCUGCUUCGGUGAGCCGUGCCACGGAAUUGGGAGCUCCAAGUGGGCCAUUUUUGGUAAGCAGAACUGGCGAUGCGGGAUGAACCGGAAGCCGGGUUACGGUGCCAAACUGCGCGCUAACCUAGAACCCACAAAGGGUGUUGGUCGAUUAAGACAGCAGGACGGUGGUCAUGGAAGUCGAAAUCCGCUAAGGAGUGUGUAACAACUCACCUGUCGAAUCAACUAGCCCCGAAAAUGGAUGGCGCUGAAGCGCGCGACCCACACCCGGCCAUCUGGGCGAGCGACAUGCCCCGAUGAGUAGGAGGGCGCGGCGGCCGCCGCAAAACCCGGGGCGCGAGCCCGGGCGGAGCGGCCGUCGGUGCAGAUCUUGGUGGUAGUAGCAAAUAUUCAAAUGAGAACUUUGAAGGCCGAAGAGGAGAAAGGUUCCAUGUGAACGGCACUUGCACAUGGGUAAGCCGAUCCUAAGGGACGGGGGAAACCCGGCAGAUAGCGCGAUCACGCGCGUCACCCGAAAGGGAAUCGGGUUAAGAUUUCCCGAGCCGGGACGUGGCGGCAGACGGCGACGUUAGGAAGUCCGGAGACGCCGACGGGGGCCUCGGGAAGAGUUAUCUUUUCUGCUUAACGGCCCGCCAACCCUGGAAUCGGUUCAGCCGGAGGUAGGGUCCAGCGGCCGGAAGAGCACCGCACAUCGCGUGGUGUCCGGUGCGCCCCCGGCGGCCCUUGAAAAUCCGGAGGACCGAAUACCGUCCACGCCCGGUCGUACUCAUAACCGCAUCAGGUCUCCAAGGUGAACAGCCUCUGGCCAAUGGAACAAUGUAGGCAAGGGAAGUCGGCAAAACGGAUCUGUAACUUCGGGAAAAGGAUUGGCUCUGAGGGUUGGGCUCGGGGGUCCCGGCCCCGAACCCGUCGGCUGCUGGCGGAAUGCUCGAGCUGCUCGCGCGGCGAGAGCGGGCCGUCGCGUGCCGGCCGGGGGACAGACCGGGAACGGUGUCACACCCGGUUUUGGAAGGUAAACCGAAUGCGAACCAUGUACGUGCCAGGAUCAGAACUCACGUACACAACGAUUACAUAAAUGAACAUCAUCGCACAAUGCUCGAAUAAUAACAUAAAAGAGUAUUAACUUAUUACAUCACAGAGUCAUAGACAUCCACAUAGUCAUCGUCUUAACAGGUAAAUCAAAGUGCUAGCGAAACGCAGUAAAGAUAAGGCCUUCACAGGCAGCUGACUGGGGGUUGCCGCCAACCCACACCUAGAAUUCGUCGUAGUCUUGAAACUCCUGGAAGUCUCCUUCCACGGCUUCACCUUCUCCUGAGCAGUGGUUACAAUGCGGACAACCUGGUGUUUUGUGGUAAAGCAAGGAUGAGUACACAUCAACGUACUCAGCAAAUGUCUCGUUUGGCUGAAGUGGACUAGCUUUAUGUGGGGUUAGGCUCAAGCAGUUGAUUUUAGUUGGUCAGGUAUUUAUCAUUAGUAGAAGCCAGAUUUUAGUAUUAACCAACCCGUAAACCAUUUCCUCAUUGAGGAACAUCAUCAUCAUAGUCGAACCAAAACCAUAACAUAAUCCAUGUAUCUCGAACCAUCUGUAUCUCUAAUCAAAGAGGAUCCCAAGGCUGCUCUUAACCGUGAGCACGGCUGAUAUAUCAGUUUCACUACCCUCUGCAGAGGUUGCACACUUUACCCAUGAGUCAUGAUUCCCUUUCUACCCGGGGAGAGCUAAUCCCCAUUGACCACUACCUAGGUGGUCCGGCAGGGCAUCACUACGUAGCUUUUACAAAGAUUGCCUAGAGAUCAUAGCUGCCCGUUAGGUUUCUCCAGUUUGAUAAACACAGUACCCCUCC
Molecule: ribosomal RNA, 3288 nt
Filed under: Zea mays
Lineage: Eukaryota; Viridiplantae; Streptophyta; Magnoliopsida; Poales; Poaceae
Description: eukaryotic LSU rRNA
Rfam family: Eukaryotic large subunit ribosomal RNA (bases 380-3288)
Source: RNAcentral